GACGAACGCUGGCGGCGCGCCUAACACAUGCAAGUCGAACGAGCGAGAGGAGGUUUACUUUCUCAAGCGAGUGGCGAACGGGUGAGUAACGCGUGAGGAACCUGCCUCAAAGAGGGGGACAACAGUUGGAAACGACUGCUAAUACCGCAUAAGCCCACGACCCGGCAUCGGGUAGAGGGAAAAGGAGCAAUCCGCUUUGAGAUGGCCCCGCGUCCGAUUAGCUAGUUGGUGAGGUAAUGGCCCACCAAGGCGACGAUCGGUAGCCGGACUGAGAGGUUGAACGGCCACAUUGGGACUGAGACACGGCCCAGACUCCUACGGGAGGCAGCAGUGGGGAAUAUUGCACAAUGGGGGAAACCCUGAUGCAGCGACGCCGCGUGGAGGAAGAAGGUCUUCGGAUUGUAAACUCCUGUUGUUGAGGAAGAUAAUGACGGUACUCAACAAGGAAGUGACGGCUAACUACGUG
Molecule: ribosomal RNA, 466 nt
Filed under: uncultured bacterium
Lineage: Bacteria
Description: partial 16S ribosomal RNA
Rfam family: Bacterial small subunit ribosomal RNA
Source: RNAcentral